UUCUUAUUGAAUGAUGACUGUCACGUGUCAUAUUCUGAUUAAAUGUCAACUUCAUGGAAGAUGAAAUACAUUGUUGUUGUCAUUAGCUAAUAAAAAAAAUGAAAUGUGAUAGUUAUGAUCCAAUAAGAACGUGACACGUGACAACCAACAUUC
Molecule: microRNA precursor, 153 nt
Filed under: Glycine max (soybean)
Lineage: Eukaryota; Viridiplantae; Streptophyta; Magnoliopsida; Fabales; Fabaceae
Description: MIR1520 microRNA precursor family
Rfam family: MIR1520 microRNA precursor family
Source: Rfam by way of RNAcentral